Molecule: ribosomal RNA, 554 nt
Filed under: uncultured bacterium
Lineage: Bacteria
Description: partial 16S ribosomal RNA
Rfam family: Bacterial small subunit ribosomal RNA
Source: RNAcentral
UAGGGAAUCUUCGGCAAUGGACGAAAGUCUGACCGAGCAACGCCGCGUGAGUGAAGAAGGUUCUCGGAUCGUAAAACUCUGUUGGUAGAGAAGAACGUUGGUGAGAGUGGAAAGCUCAUCAAGUGACGGUAACUACCCAGAAAGGGACGGCUAACUACGUGCCAGCAGCCGCGGUAAUACGUAGGUCCCCGAGCGUUGUCCGGAUUUAUUGGGCGUAAAGCGAGCGCAGGUGGUUUAUUAAGUCUGGUGUAAAAGGCAGUGGCUCAACCAUUGUAUGCAUUGGAAACUGGUAGACUUGAGUGCAGGAGAGGAGAGUGGAAUUCCAUGUGUAGCGGUGAAAUGCGUAGAUAUAUGGAGGAACACCGGUGGCGAAAGCGGCUCUCUGGCCUGUAACUGACACUGAGGCUCGAAAGCGUGAGGAGCAAACAGGAUUAGAUACCCUGGUAGUCCACGCCGUAAACGAUGAGUGCUAGAUGUAGGGAGCUAUAAGUUCUCUGUAUCGCAGCUAACGCAAUAAGCACUCCGCCUGGGGAGUACGACCGCAAGGUUGAAAC